CAAAUUCGUAGUAAUUCGGAAGCUGCAUCUUCGGUCCAUACGACGUACCAGCGCAGUUUAUUAUGAGUACCUAUUCAACAAAUCUACCAAAUUAAAACAGAUUGUCCUAAGUCGUACAGAAAUCCAAUGACAAGAUCUUUGGGACACCGGUGAAGAUAGUAACCAUGUGUGUAAAGCCAGAUAAACUUGAUAAAAAUGUAGAUGUUAUAAAAUGAGUACCUAUAGAUAUAUAGCGAAUUCAUGAUGAAAUUAAACUUUGCUUGAAUCUUGACUAUGUUCAUCAAAUUGAAUGUGACUGCUACACAUAAUGAAAACUUCCAAGUGAAGUAGGUUGUAAAAUUUAAGGAGAAAUAAAAGAAAGUUAUUAAUCAA
Molecule: long non-coding RNA, 372 nt
Organism: Colias croceus (clouded yellow)
Lineage: Eukaryota; Metazoa; Arthropoda; Insecta; Lepidoptera; Pieridae
Exons: 3
Source: RefSeq, a predicted model, not a curated record